UACGGGGGGGUAAGCGUUGUUCGGAAUUACUGGGCGUAAAGGGCUCGUAGGCGGCCAACUAAGUCAUACGUGAAAUCCCUCAGCUUAACUGGGGAACUGCGUGUGAUACUGGAUGGCUUGGAUUUGGGAGAGGGAUGCGGAAUUCCAGGUGUAGCGGUGAAAUGCGUAGAUAUCUGGAGGAACACCGGUGGCGAAGGCGGCAUCCUGGACCAAUAUUGGACGCUGAGGAGCGAAAGCUAGGGGAGC
This 246-nucleotide ribosomal RNA is filed under the name uncultured bacterium. Its description in RNAcentral is "partial 16S ribosomal RNA". It matches the Rfam family "Bacterial small subunit ribosomal RNA", at positions 524 to 769 of the family's 1533-position model. The record is from RNAcentral.